GACGAACGCUGGCGGCGUGCUUAACACAUGCAAGUCGAGCGGUAAGGCCCUUUCGGGGGUACACGAGCGGCGAACGGGUGAGUAACACGUGGGUGACCUGCCCUCAGCUCUGGGAUAAGCCUGGGAAACCGGGUCUAAUACUGGAUAUGACUCCAUGACGCAUGUUGUGGGGUGGAAAGCCUUGUGCGGCUGAGGAUGGGCCCGCGGCCUAUCAGCUUGUUGGUGGGGGAUGGCCUACCAAGGCGACGACGGGUAGCCGGCCUGAGAGGGCGACCGGCCACACUGGGACUGAGACACGGCCCAGGCUCCUACGGGAGGCAGCAGUGGGGAAUCUUGCGCAAUGGGCGAAAGCCUGACGCAGCGACGCCGCGUGAGGGAUGACGGCCUGGUGUAACU
RNAcentral lists this ribosomal RNA (396 nucleotides) under uncultured bacterium. RNAcentral describes it as "bacterial SSU rRNA". It matches the Rfam family "Bacterial small subunit ribosomal RNA", at positions 28 to 430 of the family's 1533-position model. The record is from RNAcentral.